AGAGGUGGAAAUUCAUAGUCCAUGCUCAAGAUCAAAUGGCAUCUCUCAGACUGGAAAAUCCUUCUGAAGUCAGUUCCAGGCAUCCCUGGAAGCCUGGAUAAUUUGGGAAAAGGCUGACUCAAUGUAAGGUGCAAGACCAAUCCUUUGGCUUGGAGAACUGAUCCAUCUCCACACCUGUAUCUUCAAGUUGGACUCUCUUCUUCAACCCAUGUACAUGCCCAAUAUUCCCUCAUCAUUGACAAAUACCUUCCUUUGACUUUAUCGAUUCUCUGACUACCACCUUUUCAAUGAAGAAAGACUUCCCUGGCCAAGUGCCAUCUCUCGGUGCGUCCACGGUUACUGACGCUUGUAUUCUCCACAGCAAUUACAACUGCAUUGAAAUCAUGGAUCCACAUGCCCGUUUCACCCACCAGACUGUGACGUCAGAGUCAGUGACAUUGCCUUCAACAUCUCUGUACGCUCAGAACCCAGGAUGGUGCUUUCUAGAGAAGGUCCUCAAUCCAUCCUCCUUGAAACGAAUGGACACCAACCAACGUGUGUAAUGAGUGGUUCCAGAAGAGAAUGCUCUAGGAGUGCAGCUUGGGAUGCUAGGAACACACGCCUGUCUGGAGCCCAGCUCAUUCCCCGCUUCAUGGUGGAUGUUCAAAAAUAGGCAUGAGAACAAGUGAAGCGAGAACAUGUAUUUCUCAAUUCUCAAAUUAUUACUGGUGACAUCCACCAUCUGGCACCAGAUCUCAGGAGGCUGAGAUGGAAAGUUAUGGGAAACUUUGUACCUCUUGCCAGUUGAGUUCAUGACACCCAAUUUUUAAUUUUUCAGCCCCAAAUUUGCCCACAUGACCUAUUUCUACUGUAACUGCCACUGGAACUUUUGACCAGGGUAAAUCUUGUGCCUUCUCCCAGUGCCUCCUGCUCUCCUCAUCAGUCCCCAUCUGUCCUCUAACUAUGCUGACUUCCGUCCAAACUACUUUUGGACUGGCCCUGGCAUAGCCCUGCAUUAGUGAUGCAAGGCAGCAAGGUGUUUAUUUAUUUAUUUAAUUAGGAAAACAGAACAAAUUCUGGGAUGUAAUGAGAAAUGACAUAUACAUAAGAGGCUUAUGACCAAAAUAUCUUAAUACUCAUUGCAAAAGAAGUUCUACUUUUUAGCUUUACAUUGGAAGGCUUUAAAAAUAUGUCUGGGAGUGCUGAAGAGAGUUAUACUUUCUUCCCCCACAUGUGACCUAAACCUCCAAUUCAGCUGCUUAAAUAGCUGACACCCUAAAACGGAGAGGUCAUAUUCCAGGGAGAAAUAUG
Molecule: long non-coding RNA, 1290 nt
Organism: Piliocolobus tephrosceles (Ugandan red Colobus)
Lineage: Eukaryota; Metazoa; Chordata; Mammalia; Primates; Cercopithecidae
Exons: 3
Source: RefSeq, a predicted model, not a curated record